This 2549-nucleotide ribosomal RNA is filed under the name Escherichia sp. KTE172. Its description in RNAcentral is "bacterial LSU rRNA". It matches the Rfam family "Bacterial large subunit ribosomal RNA", at positions 397 to 2925 of the family's 2925-position model. The record is from RNAcentral. Lineage: Bacteria; Pseudomonadati; Pseudomonadota; Gammaproteobacteria; Enterobacterales; Enterobacteriaceae.
CUGUGAGCUCGAUGAGUAGGGCGGGACACGUGGUAUCCUGUCUGAAUAUGGGGGGACCAUCCUCCAAGGCUAAAUACUCCUGACUGACCGAUAGUGAACCAGUACCGUGAGGGAAAGGCGAAAAGAACCCCGGCGAGGGGAGUGAAAAAGAACCUGAAACCGUGUACGUACAAGCAGUGGGAGCCUCUUUAUGGGGUGACUGCGUACCUUUUGUAUAAUGGGUCAGCGACUUAUAUUCUGUAGCAAGGUUAACCGAAUAGGGGAGCCGAAGGGAAACCGAGUCUUAACUGGGCGUUAAGUUGCAGGGUAUAGACCCGAAACCCGGUGAUCUAGCCAUGGGCAGGUUGAAGGUUGGGUAACACUAACUGGAGGACCGAACCGACUAAUGUUGAAAAAUUAGCGGAUGACUUGUGGCUGGGGGUGAAAGGCCAAUCAAACCGGGAGAUAGCUGGUUCUCCCCGAAAGCUAUUUAGGUAGCGCCUCGUGAAUUCAUCUCCGGGGGUAGAGCACUGUUUCGGCAAGGGGGUCAUCCCGACUUACCAACCCGAUGCAAACUGCGAAUACCGGAGAAUGUUAUCACGGGAGACACACGGCGGGUGCUAACGUCCGUCGUGAAGAGGGAAACAACCCAGACCGCCAGCUAAGGUCCCAAAGUCAUGGUUAAGUGGGAAACGAUGUGGGAAGGCCCAGACAGCCAGGAUGUUGGCUUAGAAGCAGCCAUCAUUUAAAGAAAGCGUAAUAGCUCACUGGUCGAGUCGGCCUGCGCGGAAGAUGUAACGGGGCUAAACCAUGCACCGAAGCUGCGGCAGCGACGCUUAUGCGUUGUUGGGUAGGGGAGCGUUCUGUAAGCCUGUGAAGGUGUACUGUGAGGUAUGCUGGAGGUAUCAGAAGUGCGAAUGCUGACAUAAGUAACGAUAAAGCGGGUGAAAAGCCCGCUCGCCGGAAGACCAAGGGUUCCUGUCCAACGUUAAUCGGGGCAGGGUGAGUCGACCCCUAAGGCGAGGCCGAAAGGCGUAGUCGAUGGGAAACAGGUUAAUAUUCCUGUACUUGGUGUUACUGCGAAGGGGGGACGGAGAAGGCUAUGUUGGCCGGGCGACGGUUGUCCCGGUUUAAGCGUGUAGGCUGGUUUUCCAGGCAAAUCCGGAAAAUCAAGGCUGAGGCGUGAUGACGAGGCACUACGGUGCUGAAGCAACAAAUGCCCUGCUUCCAGGAAAAGCCUCUAAGCAUCAGGUAACAUCAAAUCGUACCCCAAACCGACACAGGUGGUCAGGUAGAGAAUACCAAGGCGCUUGAGAGAACUCGGGUGAAGGAACUAGGCAAAAUGGUGCCGUAACUUCGGGAGAAGGCACGCUGAUAUGUAGGUGAAGUCCCUCGCGGAUGGAGCUGAAAUCAGUCGAAGAUACCAGCUGGCUGCAACUGUUUAUUAAAAACACAGCACUGUGCAAACACGAAAGUGGACGUAUACGGUGUGACGCCUGCCCGGUGCCGGAAGGUUAAUUGAUGGGGUUAGCGGUAACGCGAAGCUCUUGAUCGAAGCCCCGGUAAACGGCGGCCGUAACUAUAACGGUCCUAAGGUAGCGAAAUUCCUUGUCGGGUAAGUUCCGACCUGCACGAAUGGCGUAAUGAUGGCCAGGCUGUCUCCACCCGAGACUCAGUGAAAUUGAACUCGCUGUGAAGAUGCAGUGUACCCGCGGCAAGACGGAAAGACCCCGUGAACCUUUACUAUAGCUUGACACUGAACAUUGAGCCUUGAUGUGUAGGAUAGGUGGGAGGCUUUGAAGUGUGGACGCCAGUCUGCAUGGAGCCGACCUUGAAAUACCACCCUUUAAUGUUUGAUGUUCUAACGUUGGCCCCUAAUCGGGGUUGCGGACAGUGUCUGGUGGGUAGUUUGACUGGGGCGGUCUCCUCCUAAAGAGUAACGGAGGAGCACGAAGGUUGGCUAAUCCUGGUCGGACAUCAGGAGGUUAGUGCAAUGGCAUAAGCCAGCUUGACUGCGAGCGUGACGGCGCGAGCAGGUGCGAAAGCAGGUCAUAGUGAUCCGGUGGUUCUGAAUGGAAGGGCCAUCGCUCAACGGAUAAAAGGUACUCCGGGGAUAACAGGCUGAUACCGCCCAAGAGUUCAUAUCGACGGCGGUGUUUGGCACCUCGAUGUCGGCUCAUCACAUCCUGGGGCUGAAGUAGGUCCCAAGGGUAUGGCUGUUCGCCAUUUAAAGUGGUACGCGAGCUGGGUUUAGAACGUCGUGAGACAGUUCGGUCCCUAUCUGCCGUGGGCGCUGGAGAACUGAGGGGGGCUGCUCCUAGUACGAGAGGACCGGAGUGGACGCAUCACUGGUGUUCGGGUUGUCAUGCCAAUGGCACUGCCCGGUAGCUAAAUGCGGAAGAGAUAAGUGCUGAAAGCAUCUAAGCACGAAACUUGCCCCGAGAUGAGUUCUCCCUGACUCCCUGAGAGUCCUGAAGGAACGUUGAAGACGACGACGUUGAUAGGCCGGGUGUGUAAGCGCAGCGAUGCGUUGAGCUAACCGGUACUAAUGAACCGUGAGGCUUAACCUU